UCUCGAUGUUUUCACUUCCUCAAGGAGCUCUGAAAUGGCGCUGCUCGUCCUCCUGUUCUUCUUCCAUCUGAUUCUGGACAUUAACUCUCAAUAUGUUCCUCUCCCAGCUCCAGUCACAGUGCUGAAUCAGAAACCGAGACUAAGCCUCAGUCAUGAUGGUCAGUUUGAUGUAUUCAGAUUUGUGUGUGAAAUAUCAGGGUCAGAGUCAGUAACUGCUGAUUUUAGCUGUAAUCUCUACACUGGAGAAAAUCCUCAGUUUUUCCUAAACCAAACAUCUCAAAAGGGAAAAUCUGUGAAGGUUUGUAGAUUUAAAGCACAGAGAGAUGCUGUGUUUAAUCGUCUGCAGUCAGUAAAGAGUCGUGAAGUGAGCUGUGAUUAUUCACUGAUCUCUGACCCGACUGCUCGCUCUCUAAUGAGUGAUAAAUACAACAUGAUGCGUUUCUUUCCUACACCAACACAGCCGUCCAUCACUACUGAGAAAUCCACUGCAUAUGUUCCUCAGCCCCGUCUGUCCGUGUCUCCUGAAGUUCUCACAGAGAGAGGAUCAGUGCAGAUUCACUGUCAUGUUCCAGACAAUGUUAAAGUGUCUCGGUGUCAGUUCUACCCAGAGAGAGACAACACAAAUCUAAAACUCUCUCCAUCAUGUCAGCUCUCAGUCACUGGUUCUGAACUGAUCAGGUGGACAGGACGAAGUUCUCCUGGAACACUUCAUAUUACUUGUUACUACACUGUGGAUAACUCUGUUCGUACUCCUUCUCCUCACUCUCUCC
This is a long non-coding RNA of Ictalurus punctatus (channel catfish), 770 nucleotides long. NCBI's taxonomy places the organism in Eukaryota, Metazoa, Chordata, Actinopteri, Siluriformes, Ictaluridae. The record is from Ensembl.